GGCUACAGCUAUACCACCCUGAACACACCUGAUCUUGUCGGAUCUCGGAAGCUAAUCUUGGGCCUGGUUAGUACUUGGAUGGGAGAAUCCGGGCCCUGGAGCCA
Molecule: ribosomal RNA, 104 nt
Filed under: Propithecus coquereli (Coquerel's sifaka)
Lineage: Eukaryota; Metazoa; Chordata; Mammalia; Primates; Indriidae
Source: RNAcentral